AACGGACGCUGGCGGCGUGCCUAACACAUGCAAGUCGUGCGAGAAAGUUCCUUCGGGAGCGAGUAAAGCGGCGCACGGGUGAGUAACACGUAGGUAACCUGCCCCCCAGUCUGGAACAACUAGAGGAAACUCUAGCUAAUGCCGGAUGAGACCACGAUCCCCUUCGGGGGUUGCGGCCAAAGAUGGCCUCUACUUGUAAGCUAUCGCUGAGGGAUGGGCCUGCGGGCCAUUAGCUUGUUGGUGAGGUAACGGCUCACCAAGGCUGUGAUGGCUAGCUGGUCUGAGAGGAUGACCAGCCACACUGGGACUGAGACACGGCCCAGGACUCCUACGGGAGGCAGCAGUGGGGAAUAUUGCGCAAUGGGCGAAAGCCUGACGCAGCGACGCCGCGUGGGUGA
This 398-nucleotide ribosomal RNA is filed under the name uncultured bacterium. RNAcentral's name for it is "bacterial SSU rRNA". It matches the Rfam family "Bacterial small subunit ribosomal RNA", at positions 29 to 408 of the family's 1533-position model. The record is from RNAcentral.